Musca domestica (house fly) is the source of this 1055-nucleotide long non-coding RNA. RefSeq lists it as uncharacterized. NCBI's taxonomy places the organism in Eukaryota, Metazoa, Arthropoda, Insecta, Diptera, Muscidae. The record is from RefSeq and is a predicted model, not a curated record. The transcript has 4 exons.
GACAGCAACUAUACACAAAGGUGCUGGUAAUAAAUUUAUUAAAAUUUAAACAUUUCUGGGUCACAUGCAACAAACUUCAACAUUUCCAAGGCAAACGCUGGAAAUGAUGAUGUGCAUGACCUAUGGAAUGGUAUUUUGAAAAAUCUCUCAGUGAUGACUGAAAUAAAACUGGAUUUAAAUCGGGAUAUGCCAAUCUUAAGGAAAUGCAUGCUACCAGCUAGAAUCACGGACAUUUCUAAAGUGGACAGGACACAGGUUACUAAUGGGGUGACAUUUUGACAUAAAAGUUGUUGGCAGCUAAGCAAAUUACAAGGAUACCUGGGAGCACAGCCCGAUAAAUGGAAAGAUACUUUGACACAUAUCAAUUAAAUGGCACACCUGUGGGAAACAACAUCAUCUUCUACCUGACUAUUCGCAUCACCUGUGUAUGGAAUCACCAGCGAUUGGAAGGGGUCAAAAAUUUGUUGCAUUUUUUUCGUCAGCGCGCCAUGGAAGCAUUUGGCGCUUAAUUCUGAACGGCAAUUGGAGGCAACUGCCAAUUUUUUACAGGAGAAUCUCGGCUUGUUAGAUAAGAAUGAAAAAAUGUAUAAUUUUACCUUUUUAUUGCCGGUACUUAUCGACUUUUUCUCCUUUUAGGCAAAAGACAUCAAAAUGGUUGUUGCUGCUAACUCAAACAAGGCCAGUUUCCAUCAGCCAAACAAGACAAUCACGGGAACAAAUUUAAACACAAAUUGGGCAGCUGUUUAUCCUGGCGGGUUUCCAGAAAUUCCGGGUUUUUGCCAAAGCUGACCACCUCCCGGAAGAAGUCUGGAGGAGCCAAUAUUUCUUGUUCGGGGCUAUAGUUGGCGCGACUUUACUAUUUUGUUCGCACGUACACAUAAAUUAAAUUAUCCAAAACGAACACAAAUAAACAACCACAAUUUGACAUUAAAUUCAACAAAUAUUCCACUGUUAUUUUAUUUUGACGAUGGCUUAAUUCCCGGACAAAUGGUAUUUUUCCACAACAGAACAAGACGCAUUCACGAAAUUUUCCCCGCUACGCCUUUUUAUAGGGC